RNAcentral lists this ribosomal RNA (379 nucleotides) under uncultured bacterium. RNAcentral's name for it is "bacterial SSU rRNA". It matches the Rfam family "Bacterial small subunit ribosomal RNA", at positions 30 to 421 of the family's 1533-position model. The record is from RNAcentral.
AGCGAACGCUGGCGGCAUGCCUAACACAUGCAAGUCGCACGGUCGGGGGGGUGACCUUCGGCAGUGGCGGACGGGUGAGUAACGCGUAGGGAUCUAUCCUUUGGAUGGGGGGACGAACCGCGGGAAACCGCGGCUAAUACCGCAUGAUGCCUGAGGGCCAAAGCUCGCGAGAGCGUCUGGGGAGGAGCCUGCGUCCGAUUAGCUUGUUGGUGGGGUAACGGCCCACCAAGGCGUCGAUCGGUAGCUGGUCUGAGAGGAUGAUCAGCCACACUGGGACUGAGACACGGCCCAGACUCCUACGGGAGGCAGCAGUGGGGAAUAUUGGACAAUGGGCGCAAGCCUGAUCCAGCAAUGCCGCGUGGGUGAAGAAGGUCUUCGG